RNAcentral lists this ribosomal RNA (601 nucleotides) under Franzmannia qiaohouensis. Its description in RNAcentral is "bacterial SSU rRNA". It matches the Rfam family "Bacterial small subunit ribosomal RNA", at positions 79 to 676 of the family's 1533-position model. Lineage: Bacteria; Pseudomonadati; Pseudomonadota; Gammaproteobacteria; Oceanospirillales; Halomonadaceae. The record is from RNAcentral.
UGCUUCCUGGUGGCGAGCGGCGGACGGGUGAGUAAUGCAUAGGAAUCUGCCCGAUAGUGGGGGAUAACCUGGGGAAACCCAGGCUAAUACCGCAUACGUCCUACGGGAGAAAGCAGGGGCUCUUCGGACCUUGCGCUAUCGGAUGAGCCUAUGUCGGAUUAGCUAGUUGGUGAGGUAAUGGCUCACCAAGGCGACGAUCCGUAGCUGGUCUGAGAGGAUGAUCAGCCACAUCGGGACUGAGACACGGCCCGAACUCCUACGGGAGGCAGCAGUGGGGAAUAUUGGACAAUGGGCGCAAGCCUGAUCCAGCCAUGCCGCGUGUGUGAAGAAGGCCUUCGGGUUGUAAAGCACUUUCAGUGAGGAAGAACGCCUUGGGCCUAAUACGUCCAAGGGAAGACAUCACUCACAGAAGAAGCACCGGCUAACUCCGUGCCAGCAGCCGCGGUAAUACGGAGGGUGCGAGCGUUAAUCGGAAUUACUGGGCGUAAAGCGCGCGUAGGUGGCUUGAUAAGCCGGUUGUGAAAGCCCCGGGCUCAACCUGGGAACGGCAUCCGGAACUGUCAGGCUAGAGUGCAGGAGAGGAAGGUAGAAUUCCCGGUGU